This 497-nucleotide ribosomal RNA is filed under the name uncultured bacterium. Its description in RNAcentral is "partial 16S ribosomal RNA". It matches the Rfam family "Bacterial small subunit ribosomal RNA", at positions 28 to 507 of the family's 1533-position model. The record is from RNAcentral.
GAUGAACGCUGGCGGCGUGCCUAAUACAUGCAAGUCGAGCGAACGGACGAGAAGCUUGCUUUUCUGAUGUUAGCGGCGGACGGGUGAGUAACACGUGGAUAACCUACCUAUAAGACUGGGAUAACUUCGGGAAACCGGAGCUAAUACCGGAUAAUAUUUUGAACCGCAUGGUUCAUAAGUGAAAGACGGUCUUGCUGUCACUUAUAGAUGGAUCCGCGCUGCAUUAGGUAGUUGGUAAGGUAACGGCUUACCAAGGCAACGAUGCAUAGCCGACCUGAGAGGGUGAUCGGCCACACUGGAACUGAGACACGGUCCAGACUCCUACGGGAGGCAGCAGUAGGGAAUCUUCCGCAAUGGGCGAAAGCCUGACGGAGCAACGCCGCGUGAGUGAUGAAGGUCUUCGGAUCGUAAAACUCUGUUAUUAGGGAAGAACAUAUGUGUAAGUAACUGUGCACAUCUUGACGGUACCUAAUCAGAAAGCCACGGCUAACUACGUG